AAGUCUUUAAGUUAACAAAACUAUUAAUCUUCAAAAUUAAAAUUAAAGUAAAUCUUUAAGUCUUA
Molecule: transfer RNA, 65 nt
Filed under: Macrostemum radiatum
Lineage: Eukaryota; Metazoa; Arthropoda; Insecta; Trichoptera; Hydropsychidae
Description: tRNA-Trp
Source: RNAcentral